RNAcentral lists this ribosomal RNA (59 nucleotides) under Satsuma yaeyamensis. RNAcentral's name for it is "partial 28S rRNA". Lineage: Eukaryota; Metazoa; Mollusca; Gastropoda; Stylommatophora; Camaenidae. The record is from RNAcentral.
UCCGACCUCAGAUCGCACGAGAUUACGCGCUGAAUUUAAGCAUAUCAAUAAGCGGAGGA